This 26-nucleotide small RNA is filed under the name Bombyx mori (domestic silkworm). Its description in RNAcentral is "ovarian small RNA-18748". The record is from RNAcentral. Lineage: Eukaryota; Metazoa; Arthropoda; Insecta; Lepidoptera; Bombycidae.
UAACCGUGAAAGUGCAUCGACUACAU